CCUACGGGGGGCAGCAGCCGCGGUAAUACGGAGGAUCCGAGCGUUAUCCGGAUUUAUUGAGUUUAAAGGGAGCGUAGAUGGGUUGUUAAGUCAGUUGUGAACGUUUGCGGCUCAACCGUAAAAUUGCAAUUGAUACUGGCAGCCUUGAGUACAGUUGAGGUAGGCGGAAUUCGUGGUGUAGCGGUGAAAUGCUUAGAUAUCACGAAGAACUCCGAUUGCGAAGGCAGCUUACUAAACUGCCACUGACAUUGAUGCUCGAAAGUGUGGGUAUCAAACAGGAUUAGAAACCCUUGUAGUCCACCCAG
This 305-nucleotide ribosomal RNA is filed under the name uncultured bacterium. Its description in RNAcentral is "bacterial SSU rRNA". It matches the Rfam family "Bacterial small subunit ribosomal RNA", at positions 500 to 802 of the family's 1533-position model. The record is from RNAcentral.